CCUACGGGAGGCUGCAGUGGGGAAUAUUGCACAAUGGGGGAAACCCUGAUGCAGCGACGCCGCGUGAGUGAAGAAGUAUCUCGGUACGUAAAGCUCUAUCAGCAGGGGAGAAAAUGACGGUACCUGACUAAGAAGCCCCGGCUAACUACGUGCCAGCAGCCGCGGUAAUACGUAGGGGGCAAGCGUUAUCCGGAUUUACUGGGUGUAAAGGGAGCGUAGACGGCAGCACAAGUCUGGAGUGAAAUCCCGGGGCUUAACCCCGGAACUGCGUUGGAAACUGUGCGGCUGGAGUGCAGGAGGGGGAAGCGGAAUUCCUGGGGGAGCGGUGAAAUGCGUAGAUAUUAGGAGGAACACCGGUGGCGAAGGCGGCUUACUGGACUGUAACUGACGUGGAGGCUCGAAGGCGUGGGGAGCAAACAGGAUUAGAUACCCGGGUAGUC
This 440-nucleotide ribosomal RNA is filed under the name uncultured bacterium. RNAcentral's name for it is "partial 16S ribosomal RNA". It matches the Rfam family "Bacterial small subunit ribosomal RNA", at positions 338 to 795 of the family's 1533-position model. The record is from RNAcentral.